AUUGAACGCUGGCGGCAGGCCUAACACAUGCAAGUCGAACGAGUGGCGGCCGGGUGAGUAAUGACUGGGAAACUGCCCGAUGGAGGGGGAUAACUACUGGAAACGGUAGCUAAUACCGCAUACCAUCGGAGGUGCCCAGAUGGGAUUAGCUAGUAGGUUGGGUAAUGGCUCACCUAGGCGAAGAUCCCUAGCUGGUCUGAGAGGAUGACCAGCAACACUGUAACUGAGACACGGUCCAGCGUCCUACGUGAGGCAGAAGUGGGUAAUAUUGCACAAUGGGCGCAAGCCGGAUGCAGCCAGGCCGUGUGUAUGAAGAAGGCCUUCGGGUGGUAAAGUACUUUCAGCGAGGAGGCGUUACUCGCAGAAGAAGCACCGGCUAACUCCGUGCCAGCAGCCGCGGUAAUUC
RNAcentral lists this ribosomal RNA (406 nucleotides) under uncultured bacterium. RNAcentral's name for it is "partial 16S ribosomal RNA". It matches the Rfam family "Bacterial small subunit ribosomal RNA", at positions 30 to 526 of the family's 1533-position model. The record is from RNAcentral.